RNAcentral lists this transfer RNA (70 nucleotides) under Ictidomys tridecemlineatus (thirteen-lined ground squirrel). RNAcentral's name for it is "Spermophilus tridecemlineatus (thirteen-lined ground squirrel) tRNA". It matches the Rfam family "tRNA". From Rfam's summary of the family: Transfer RNA (tRNA) molecules are approximately 80 nucleotides in length. Lineage: Eukaryota; Metazoa; Chordata; Mammalia; Rodentia; Sciuridae. The record is from Rfam by way of RNAcentral.
GGAGGUAUAGCUCAGUGAUAGAGCACAUGCUUAGCAUGCAUGCGGGCCUGGGUUCAAGCCCCAGCAUCUA